Molecule: RNA transcript, 6206 nt
Organism: Lemur catta (Ring-tailed lemur)
Lineage: Eukaryota; Metazoa; Chordata; Mammalia; Primates; Lemuridae
Gene: TTC21A
Gene name: tetratricopeptide repeat domain 21A
Exons: 31
Source: RefSeq, a predicted model, not a curated record
GCUCCACACGCUGACGCCCUAGCAACCGGCCGGCAGCGCGGUUUCCAAGGACGCCCGCGCCUCAGCCUUUCGGCCGCGAGAGGCGUGCCUAGGACCCUGACUCCGGAAUCCGGCUUCGCUCGGCCCAGCAGACCCGGACUCGGAGCCGCCAGCAGCCCGACAUGGGCAGCAAUGACGCCUGCCUCAUGGCUAGGAUCAUUUACUAUGGCCAGGAAAAGUACUUCCAUCACAUGCAGCAGGCUGUGGCUGUGGGCUUGGAGAAAUUCAGCAAUGACCCUGUGUUGCAGUUCUUUAAAGCCUAUGGAGUCCUCUCAGAAGAGCACAUCCAGGAUGCCAUCAGCGACCUGGAGAGCAUCCAGAAUCACCCAGACGUGUCCUUGUGCUCCACCAUAGCCCUCAUUUAUGCUCACAGAUGCUGUGAAACCAUUGACCGAGAAGCCAUUCAGGAGCUAGAAUGCAGCCUGAAGGAAUUACGCAGGACAGCCAGUGAUACUGCCCUGUACUAUGCCAGCCUCUUCCUCUGGCUCGUAGGCCGCCAUGACAAGGCCAGAGAGUACACUGACCGCAUAUUGAAGGUCUCCUGUGGCUCCAGAGAAGUAUCCACCACAAGCAUCACGAGGACCCUUAUACUCCGAGGCUGGAUGGACCUCACCUCAGACAAGCCCCACAUUGUGAAGAAAGCCAUCAGGUACCUAGAACAAGGCAUUCAGGACACCAAAGAUGUGCUGGGGCUGAUGGGAAAGGCAACGUACUUCAUGAUGCAGCAGAACUACUCAGAGGCCCUGGAAGUGGUUACCCAGAUCACGGUGGCCUCAGAGAGCUUCCUGCCAGCCUUGGUCCUGAAGAUGCGGCUGUUCUUGGCUCGGCAGGACUGGGAGCAGACGGUAGAAAUGGGACACAGAAUCCUAGAAAAAGAUGAGAGCAAUAUUGAUGCCUACCAAAUUCUAGCUGUGCAUGAGCUUACAAGAGAAGGAAACAUGGCCACAGCUGCCGAUCACAUUAGAAAUCUGAUUAAGGCACUAGAAACGAGAGAGCCCCAAAAUCCAAGCCUCCAUCUUAAAAAAAUUCUUGUGAUUAGCAGACUGUGUGGCAGGCACCAGGCAAUUCUACAGCAAGUGUGUAACUUCAUCGAGCGCAUCUUCUUGGCCACACCCUUCCAUGCCGGUGCAGCCACAGAGCUGGGCUAUCUCUACGUCCUGCGGAACCAAGUAAAGGAGGCCUCCCUGUGGUACUCGGAGGGCAUGAAACUGAACGGAACGGCUGCUAUGACAGGAAUGAUCUGGUGCCAGAUCUUAGAAGGCCAACUGGAAGAGGCUGAGAACCAGCUGGAAUUCCUGAAGGAAGUGCAGCAGUCCCUUGGGAAGUCAGAGGUGCUGAUUUUCCUUCAAGCCCUUCUGGCAUCCAAGAAGCACAAGGGGGAACAGGCAACCACGGCGCUCCUGAAAGAGACAGUGGAGCUUCACUUCUCCAGCAUGCAGGGCCUCCCCCUGGGAUCUGAGUACUUUGAAAAGCUGGACCCCCACUUCCUGGUCUACAUUGCCAAGGAGUACUUGCUCUUUUGCCCCAAGCAGCCCCGGUCACCAGGCCAGAUCGUGUCUCCACUUCUUAAACAAGUUGCAGUGAUCUUGAGUCCUGUAGUCAAAGCAGCACCAGCUCUGGUUGACCCCCUGUAUGUAAUGGCUCAGGUCAAGUAUCUCUCAGGAGAGCCAGAGAAUGCCCAGAGCACCCUGCAGCGUUGCCUGGAGCUGGACCCCACCUCCGCGGACGCCCACCUCCUCAUGGCCCAGAUCUACCUGGCCCAGGGCAACUUUGCCAUGUGCUCCCACAGCUUAGAGCUGGGUGUCAGCCACAAUUUCCAGGUUCGAGACCACCCCCUCUACCAUUUCAUCAAGGCCAGGGCCCUUAACAAGGCUGGAGACUAUCCAGAGGCAAUAAAGACACUGAAAAUGAUCAUGAAAUUGCCAACUCUGAGGAUGGAAGAAGGCAAGAAGUCCCGCAGGCCCUCUGUGCAGCCCAGUGAGCGGGUGUCCAUCUUACUGGAACUUGUCGAUGCCCUCCGGCUGAAUGGGGAGCUGCAUGAGGCCACCAAGGUGUUGCAGGAUGCCAUCAACGAGUUCAGCGGCACACCAGAGGAGGACCACAUCACCAUCGCCAACGUGGACUUGGCCCUGAGCAAGGGCAAUGUAGACAUGGCUCUGAGUGUGCUGAGGAACAUCACACCCAAGCAGCCCUGCUACGUGGAAGCCAGGGAGAAGAUGGCCAGCAUCUACCUGCAGACCCGCAAAGACAUCCGCCUCUACAUCGGAUGCUACCGUGAGCUUUGUGAACAUCUGCCUGGCCCCCACACUAGCCUCCUACUGGGCGAUGCUUUCAUGAACAUUCAGGAGCCCGAGAAGGCCCUGGAGGUCUAUGAUGAGGCCUAUAGGAAGAACCCGCAUGACGCCUUUCUGGUCAGCAGGAUCGGGCAAGCUUAUGUGAAGACCCACCAGUACAGCAAGGCAAUUAAUUAUUAUGAGGCUGCCCAGAAGAUUAGCGGACAGGACUUUCUGUGCUGCAACCUGGCUGAACUGCUCCUCAAAUUAAAGAAGUUCAACAAAGCAGAAAAAGUUUUGAAGCAGGCACUGGAACAUGAAUUUGCCAAAGACAUCCCAUCCAUGAUGAAUGAUGUUAAGUGCUUACUUUUGCUGGCAAAAGUUUACGAGAGCCAGAAAAAAGAAGAGGUGAUAGAGACUUUGAACAAGGCCUUGGACCUCCAGUCUCGGAUACUGAAGCGGGUUCCACUAGAGCAACCAGAAAUGCUCUCGUCCCAGAAGCAACUGGCUGCCUGUAUCUGUAUCCAGUUUGGAGAGCACUACCUGGCAGAGAAGGAGUAUGCCAAAGCAGUGAAGGCUUAUAAGGAUGCCCUCUCCUACUCGCCCAUUGACAAUAAGGUGGUGUUGGAGCUGGCGCAACUCUACCUGCUCCAGGGGCACCUGGACCUGUGUGAGCAGCACUGUGCCAUCCUCCUGCAGACUGAGAAGAACCACGAGACCGCCUCUGUGAUGAUGGCUGACCUGCUGUUUAGAAAACAGAAUUAUGAAGCAGCCGUCAAUCUCUACCGCCAAGUCCUGGAGAAAGCGCCAGAUAAUUUUUCGGUAUUGAGGAAAUUAAUCGAUCUGCUACGAAGAAGUGGCAAACUUGAAGAUGCUCCUGCCUUCUUUGAAUUGGCCAAGAAGGUGUCCAGCCGGGUGCCUCUGGAGCCCGGGUUCAACUACUGCAGAGGCAUCUACCGCUGGCACAUAGGGCAGCCCAACGAAGCCUUGAAGUUCUUAAACAAAGCGCGUAAGGACAGCACUUGGGGCCAGAGAGCCACCUACUACAUGGUGCAGAUCUGUCUGAACCCAGACAACGAGAUUGUGGGCGGAGAAGCUUUUGAGACCCUGGUGGUUGAGAGCAACUCCAGCAACAGAAAGGAGACCGAGCAGCACGGCGUGCGCACAGCCGAGAAGCUGCUGCGUGAGUUCUACCCGCACUCGGCCUUCGGCCAGACCCAGCUGCGGCUGCUGCAGGGCCUGUGCCUGCUGGCCACCAGGGAGAAGGCUAACGUGGAGGUGGCGCUGGGCAACUUCAUCGAGAUGGCGCAGGCCGAGCAGGACAGCGUCCCCGCCCUGCUGGCCUUGGCGCAGGCCUACAUUCUUCUGAAGCAGAUCCCCAAGGCACGCACGCAGUUGAAGCGCCUGGCCAAGGCCCCGUGGGUGCUGGCCGAGGCCGAGGACCUGGAGCAGAGCUGGCUCCUGCUGGCCGACAUCUACUGCCAGGGCGGCAAGUUCGACCUGGCCUCGGAGCUGCUGCGGCGCUGCGUGCAGUACAACAAGUCCUGCUGCAAGGCCUAUGAAUACAUGGGCUUCAUCAUGGAGAAGGAGCAGUCCUACAAGGACGCAGCCACCAACUAUGAGCUGGCCUGGAAGUAUAGUCAUCAUGCCAACCCUGCCAUUGGUUUCAGACUCGCUUUCAACUACUUGAAGGACAAGAAAUUUGUGGAGGCCAUCGAAGUCUGCCACAGCGUCCUCUCAGAACACCCCAACUAUCCCAAGAUAAGAGAGGAAAUUUUGGAAAAGGCCCAGGGGUCCCUGAGGCCGUAGCUGUGGUUCGAGAGGCCCAAAGCAGCGAAGCCAUCAAUCUACUGAAGUUGUAUGGAGGGGCAAGAAGAGGAGUCACUGAAACUCAGGAUCCGCGCCAGGCUGUCAUCAUCCAUACCAGGCUGGAAACCAGGACCAGGCAGGCCUGGCCCUCCUUGCAGCAGCCACAGGGGAAUGCUGUGUGGUCCAUCUGCAGAGAAAGUAGAGGCAGCACGAGUGAGGAUUUCAUGGAGCACAAAGAAGCCCCCAGGUUCAGCUCCCCACCCAGCUGGGUCCAACCACCGCACCUGGCACUUGAUGCCCGCCAGGCUGCAGCUGCAGGUCUCAGGGUCACAGACCCUAUCGCAGUGACAGCCACAGUCCUCCCGGGAUUGGCGCAGUGCCUGCAGCUCCCGCUUCUCCUCCCGAUCGAUCCUUCGAAUGCCCGCAGCCCGCAGUAGAGCCCGUCGUCGCCGGGCUGGGUAGGGCUGUAGGAAGUUGACUUCCUCCAACCGGCCUCCUGCCACGGCCACUGCCAAGUCCUCUUCCACAGAGGCAUCAUCAAUGGCAUCCACCUCAAGAGGUGGGCCUGCCUCCGCCUUGGCUACCCCGGCGGCCGACAGCUGCAUCCAUGGGAGAAAGGGAUGUGAGAAGCACAGACAGGGCACAGACUUAGCCCCAGUCACACAACAAACACUCCCCAAGUGCUCACUCUGCGCUGGGCACUGUGGAUAUGACAGUGAACAGGACAGUGAAGAGCACUGCCCUCAGGGCAUUUGCACAGUGAUGUCCUAUUCAUGCCAUUUCCCAGAUCACGGACAUACUUCCUCCCCAGCCAGCCAGAUAUACACUGCCAAUGUCACAUCAACUGCACAUCCCCUCCCCAACAAGGUCAGACAGAUUCAGGCACCAUGCCCGCAGCCCCUGGUACAACUAGACAGGCGCCCCCACGUGCCUCCCCGUCUGCAGAGAAUGUAGGCAACAGACUCCAGCUGAGCCAGUCACUGGGCUCAUGGGCCCGUUUCCCCAUAUACAUAGUGAGCAAGUCAGCACCAAGCCUGGUGUGCCUGCCCCUCAGGGUUAGGACCCCAGGAGCUACCUGAGGGUGUGGGCCACAGAGAGGGGUCUCCCUACCUUCCAUUGCAGCAUCUCCAGCUUCUCCUCCUUCAAGCGCUGGCGGAGCUUCUCGCGUCGUGCCCGGGCUUGCUCCUGCGUAAAUUCGGCCAAGGAGAAGUGGCGACGAGCACUGUGGCGAGGGGCCAUGCCCAGAGUGCAGCCACCACGGCUGGGCACGCUGGUGAAGCCCUGGCACCGGGGGAAGUAGAAGACGGUGAUGCCAUCAAAGGCUACUCGGCCUGGGCGCUCCCGGGGAGCCCGCUUCAAGAUGGACAGGGCUGGAAAGCAGGCAGGGAAGGCCCGGGGGUUAGCUCUCUGUGAGGCACAGCAUAACCUCCUGGAAGAUCCUGCCCGGCCAUCUCCCGCAUCCGUCCCCGCUCCGCCCACCUCAAAUAAAGAAAUGGAUCUGAAAUUAGGAGCCAGCCCGGCUGAGACUGGAGCUGCUAAAACUGAACACCACACCCAUGUCCACAAUGGCUUAUUGUUAUUUACCAGGCCAAAUGACAGUAUUUAUAAAAUUAAACAUCUUUCCCAUCCUUGUACAAUUUUCUAGUUUUAAAAAUUGAUUUGUAGGACCUCUUUACAUAUGAUAUUAGCAACAAUAAUUAUCUGUCUAGCCUACCUAAGGGGAUACUUUAGUCUUACAUUUUUGUUUAUGGCAUUAUACCAAAUAAUUUUUAAGGUCUAUGUAAUCAAAAGUAUUAUAAUCUCUUCCUUUAGAGCGUCUAUAUCUUGCAAUAGGCUUAGAAAGGCCUUCCCUUUACAAGUUAUUGAUUGUAUAUUGAUUAGCAAGCCACGUAUUGGUCUUUACAUCCGGUUGAACCAAAAGAAAUUACCAUAAAAUGGUUGAAUACAGGCUAUUCCACAUUUUCACUUAAUAUUUUAAUUCUGUACCCAGAUGCUCGACGGAAUUCUCUUUUAAAAGGUUUUCUUUUUGUAUUGUUAGAUUCUGUAUGCUAAAAAUCAGUUUUUAUGUAUAAUGCGCAGAUACAC